Non-coding RNA from Phrynosoma platyrhinos (Desert horned lizard), 72 nucleotides. NCBI's taxonomy places the organism in Eukaryota, Metazoa, Chordata, Lepidosauria, Squamata, Phrynosomatidae. The record is from the annotation of a GenBank genome assembly.
GCCUGUGUAGUGUAGUGGUUUGAGUGUUGGGCUACAACUCUAGAGACCAGGGUUCAAUUCCUUGCUUGGCCA